Rhinichthys klamathensis goyatoka is the source of this 190-nucleotide long non-coding RNA. RefSeq lists it as uncharacterized. The record is from RefSeq and is a predicted model, not a curated record. NCBI's taxonomy places the organism in Eukaryota, Metazoa, Chordata, Actinopteri, Cypriniformes, Leuciscidae. The transcript is spliced from 3 exons.
AACAUUUCCAGGUGGGGAUGCCACUCAGUUGUGCAUCCUACCCAACAGGAUUCCACAUCAUGUGGUGCAUUUGUUUGCAAAAUGACCUUUCACAGCUCUGUCGUUCGUGUGGAGAGCAUCAUAGGCACAAAGGCCAAACUGUCCAAUGGAUUGAAUAUACAGAAUGUGGAAGGUGGUACCAUUGGGACUG